This 89-nucleotide transfer RNA is filed under the name Xylaria digitata. RNAcentral's name for it is "tRNA-Arg". It matches the Rfam family "tRNA". From Rfam's summary of the family: Transfer RNA (tRNA) molecules are approximately 80 nucleotides in length. Their secondary structure includes four short double-helical elements and three loops (D, anti-codon, and T loops). Lineage: Eukaryota; Fungi; Ascomycota; Sordariomycetes; Xylariales; Xylariaceae. The record is from RNAcentral.
GGCCUCGUGGCCUAAUGGCUAGGGCGCUAGAUUUCGGUGCUUACAAGCUGAUUCUCUAGAGAUUGUCGGUUCGAGUCCGGCCGAGGUCG